UCUUGACCUCGGAUCAGGUAGGGAUA
RNAcentral lists this ribosomal RNA (26 nucleotides) under Plenodomus lingam (blackleg of rapeseed fungus). RNAcentral's name for it is "Leptosphaeria maculans (blackleg of rapeseed fungus) partial 28S ribosomal RNA". The record is from RNAcentral. Lineage: Eukaryota; Fungi; Ascomycota; Dothideomycetes; Pleosporales; Leptosphaeriaceae.